UACGUAGGGUGCGAGCGUUGUCCGGAAUUACUGGGCGUAAAGAGCUCGUAGGUGGUUUGUCGCGUUGUCCGUGAAAACUCACAACUCAAUUGUGGGCGUGCGGGCGAUACGGGCAGACUGGAGUACUGCAGGGGAGACUGGAAUUCCUGGUGUAGCGGUGGAAUGCGCAGAUAUCAGGAGGAACACCGGUGGCGAAGGCGGGUCUCUGGGACGGUACUGACGCUGAGGCGCGAAAGCAUGGGGAGCAAACAGG
This 253-nucleotide ribosomal RNA is filed under the name uncultured bacterium. Its description in RNAcentral is "partial 16S ribosomal RNA". It matches the Rfam family "Bacterial small subunit ribosomal RNA", at positions 524 to 776 of the family's 1533-position model. The record is from RNAcentral.